Long non-coding RNA from Clupea harengus (Atlantic herring), 966 nucleotides. The record is from Ensembl. NCBI's taxonomy places the organism in Eukaryota, Metazoa, Chordata, Actinopteri, Clupeiformes, Clupeidae.
UUUCUUCAAUCUUCCCCCACCUUUAUCCUCCUGGUCUCUAUUUGUUAAAAAAAAAAAAAGAACAGCUAACCUUACCUGAGAUGGUCUUUGAUCACGCCUCAAACCUCACAGGCAGGGAUGCUGAACCCGUUGCAUUGUGGGAAAGGUAUGGGAUGUCACUGGGGUAAGAAUGAAUGGCAGGUAAUGUUCUUUGCCUAAAUCUGCGGAGCCGUUUAUUCCUCCCUGGGACGGAGCAGCAGCACUAGAGGAGAAUAGUUAAUGGAAGGUUUUCACCGUUCCCACAUUUACAUUCAUCAUUGAGAGGUUUUCAACAUUCCCACAUUUACAUUCAUCAUUGAGAGUAUUUUUUGGGAGAAGCAAGUUGUUAAUGUUGUUAAUUUUGUUAAUGUUGUGAUCCUAAUACACAAAGGCGCAGUCCUUUAAGCCUGCAGACAUAUACCACAUACAGCCACUGGAGAGAGAGAGUUGUAGUGUGCCUCUGUGUUGCAUAUACAUAUACGGAGAGAGUGAGAGUUGUAGUGUGCCUCUGUGUUGAUACACAUAUACGGAGAGUGAGAGUUGUAGUGUGCCUCUGUGUUGAUACACAUAUACCACAUACAGCCACUGGAGAGAGAGAGUUGUAGUGUGCCUCUGUGCUGAUAUACAUAUACGGAGAGUGAGAGUUCUAGUGUGCCUCUGUGUUGAUACACAUAUACGGAGAGUGAGAGUUUUGUAGUGUGCCUCUGUGUUGAUAUGUUGGGGUUUAUGAUAAUCACCUUGGGCCAUUAGCAUAUUUAAAAACAGGCAGUGUUCAAUCGCCAUGGGUAGCAUGUCAGAUGCCACAACGACAUUAUCAUCUGAAGCCAAAUAUUAAUUCAGGAAUCAAUUAGCCAGCGUGGGAGCUCAGUGACUGAUGAAUCAUGGGUAAUUAGCCUGUAGGUGCAGAGCUCGCGCGCUACGUUAUCUCUCUGUGCUUAGCUGAUGUGC